AGGGUCCGAGCGCGCGGAUCCUGCACCGCCUAAUCUAGUCUAUCAUUGCACGUAAGACGGCGAGGAACGCACUUCUGAAUUCGGGUUAUCUCGAAAACAGGAAGCCGACAGUUUUGUGUUUUUAUAUAUAACAAUAACGAUUACAAUCAAAAAUAAAAUUCCGAGCAUUAUAGCAAAAUUUUGUUCGAACCUUUGCAAAUUUGUGAUAAUUUAAGUAUUCAGCGCGCUGUCUAUACCGAUCAAAAAAUGCCACAAGCGGCCCACGAGACGCAAAACAUUUUGAUGACGUACUUCAUUCUUCUUCUUCUAUUAAUCUCACUUUGGGUAUUAUACUCGGGAUUAUUCUUCUAAUCACAGCAGACAUUCCUCAUUAUGAGCUGAAAAACAGAGAAGACAUGCGUGUCAAAAGGCGGAUGCAUUCGAAGGAUCCAAGAUGGACAUUUCAUUCGAAAAGCUCACUGGUUCUCUCCAUCACUUCUUAUGUUUUUUCUUGGUGGCUGGAGAUACAUGUUUUACGCAAAUCUCUUUCGAUCGUUUAGUGACCGAUUUUUACAAUGAAAAUUAUUUAAAAAUAUUUAAAUAAUAAUUUAAAAUUAUUUAAAAAUAAAUCAGAAUACAGAAAGAUGUUAAAAGGU
Molecule: long non-coding RNA, 635 nt
Organism: Cataglyphis hispanica
Lineage: Eukaryota; Metazoa; Arthropoda; Insecta; Hymenoptera; Formicidae
Exons: 3
Source: RefSeq, a predicted model, not a curated record